GUGCAAGUAUCUCUGUUCAUAAAUCAGACGAAGCAACAGGUUCACUGUGCAGUAUUCUAUUUGAAGGCUAUUACAUAAGACAUCCAGGCAAAGCUCUUUCCACUUUGAAAGGCCCUAACAUAUUGUGGAAUUGUCCUAACUCUCAAGGAGACACAGGGGGUUUGAAAGACUAAGUGCAAGGACCAAGGUUGCCCGGAUUCCCUUUAGCAUGAAGAAGUUACAGACAUUCAAACUCCAGUGGGGAAUAAAAUUACUUUUUAACAAAAUUCCUGACAAAUUUGAAAGCAAAAUACACAACAGAAACACCAAGCUACAUAUUCAUGGGUCUUUCGUCAAAUAGAAUUUAUUUUCCUGAGUAGAUUUGUUGAGACUCUUAAUUUCACUUCUCCUGAAGAUACACCAACCCCAAACCCUGGUAAUAACCCUGUGUAUCCCUUCUCAGCUUUUUAUAUUCAAUUUUCUGUUGCCUUUCAAAACUCAAAUCCAUUCCUAAAUUUUGUGUAUUAAAUCCUACAAGUGUGGUCAAGUCUUCUUGGAAUGAUAAAAAUUCUCAAGUACUGACCAACUAAAACUUCACUUUGAUUAAUGGUUAACAUGCAAAAGGAAGCCCACAUUGAACUUUGACAUUUUCUCAGCACCACGUCAGAGAAAGGCCACUUGACUGUUGCUCUAAACAGCUGCUGGCCAUACUCUCAGCGUGUUCUAAGUUGGAGGUACAAUAACAUGCACAUGGGGAAAAAAUGACUCCUAGUAGGGGGAAUUAAAGUAAAUUGGCUGGUGUUUUAAUCAAUAGACUUUACUUAAGUGCAAUAUUAAAUAAGCGCCUCAUCUGCAAUGUGUUAGGUACACAUUUCCAUACAAGAUUUUGACAACUCUCCUAUGAUUUUGGGGUUGAUGGGAAAAAGCACUACGUUUUGAAAUGCUAUUUUCUAAAUAAAACCUGUAUGCCCUAUCUCUAUUCCCAUCACUUUCUCCCUUCUCAACAUAUUCUUUUUCUAUUCUCAAACUGUGUCCUAGCCAUUCUUACAACACACACACACACACACACACACACACACACACACACACAGACAGAGACUCAGAGAGAGACAGACAGACAGACAAAGUGAGAGACAGAAAGACAGAUAGAAUAAGACAGAAGCAGCAACUGAGACAGAGACAGACAGACAGACAGACAGACAGACAUUUUAAGAAAAUAAUUCUUUUUUAAAAAAGCCUACAAGAAUAUCACUGAGUUGGUUUAUUUUGACCAUUUAUUCCUGGGCAUAGGGCUUACCAUUAAGUGUGAUUAAUAUACCCAGUGACACUCCAUUCCAUUGGAGAAAACUAAUUUUUUUUCCUUUGCAAGUGGGUAUCAAUUGCAGACAGGCUCUUCAUUGGGAGUGGACCCUUGUCUACUUCCUGUUUGCAGCGCUGGGACCCCCCAUCUGGCUCAAAUCUAUACAUUCUAUUUCUGAUAACUGUUUCCUAGAAUUCCAGCUAAGGGAUUCCCCAUAUCCAUGCAGUAUUUUAAGAAUUCUUCGUUGUAACCCGUGUGAAUAAUAUAUAAUUUAAGGAAUUUAAUGCUGUAGAGUGGAACUGGAAUAUCGAGUGCCUUUACCUCGGGAUUGCAGUAUUCCAGGUUAAAUCCUAUCCUAACUAGCUGCGUAUUCACCGCUGGUCAUCUAUUCGCUGACACAAUGCUUUACUAUCUCUGUAGAAAACUUGUAUUACCCAUUUAAUAUUUCAUAAAAAAUGUGAGGAACAGUAUCACCAGUCUGACUUAUACAAUGCUUAUGUAACGACACUAGUCAGUUAAUCUUGAAGCUUUACAUUUUCUCCAUGCUACCGAGUAGCAAAUGUCUGAACAUGUUGAAUCAAGGUUGGGUUAGAGAAUAGCUAUGCAUUCCUGACACGUAAGGAUGAAUAAGCAACUGAGUAAGGAAGCUUGGGUAAAUCUGAUUUCUCAGUAUUUCUAUGUGGCUUUUGAAUGAUAAAACGAUCUCCACUUUUCUAAAGACAAAGCUUUCUCUUCUACUUUUCACAUUAGCUUCUGUAAAUGUUUUAGUUGAAAAUUUAAUGCUUGUACAGUCCAUGGCAAUUGGAAUAUAUAUUAUAUGUAUAUGGAAAAAGUUU
Molecule: long non-coding RNA, 2115 nt
Filed under: Mus musculus (house mouse)
Lineage: Eukaryota; Metazoa; Chordata; Mammalia; Rodentia; Muridae
Description: long non-coding RNA chr5:98881662-98883777
Source: RNAcentral